Molecule: non-coding RNA, 26 nt
Filed under: Mus musculus (house mouse)
Lineage: Eukaryota; Metazoa; Chordata; Mammalia; Rodentia; Muridae
Source: RNAcentral
UGAACAACAGCCUCUGACACUGAAUG